UCAGUCGGCCGGACGGUCGCUCCCGCUAUGGUCGAAAGGCUGCGGGAGAGGAAAGUCCGGGCUCCAUCGACAUACGGUGCCGGAUAACUUCCGGCGGGGGCGACCCCAGGGACAGUGCCACAGAGAACGAACCGCCCCGUCUCCGGACGGGGCAAGGGUGAAAAGGUGCGGUAAGAGCGCACCGCGUAUCCGGCAACGGAAACGGCAUGGCAAACCACACCGGGAGCAAAACCGAAUAGGGACGGCAAAGCGGAAAGUUCGCGCAAGCGAUAACUCCGCGGGGCGAUGUCAGGCUCGCUGUCCGGGUAGGUUGCUCGAGGCCAUGUGCAAACAUGGUCCCAGAGGAAUGGCCGUCACGUACCAAUCGCAAGGAUGGUGCCUUACAGAACCCGGCUUACAGGCUGGCUGAUACU
Molecule: RNase P RNA, 413 nt
Filed under: bacterium
Lineage: Bacteria
Description: RNase P RNA component class A
Rfam family: Bacterial RNase P class A
About the family: Ribonuclease P (RNase P) is a ubiquitous endoribonuclease, found in archaea, bacteria and eukarya as well as chloroplasts and mitochondria. Its best characterised activity is the generation of mature 5'-ends of tRNAs by cleaving the 5'-leader elements of precursor-tRNAs. Cellular RNase Ps are ribonucleoproteins.
Source: RNAcentral